GGACCCGCACAAGCGGUGGAGCAUGUGGUUUAAUUCGACGCAACGCGAAGAACCUUACCAGGGCUUGACAUCCCGGGCUCGCCAUGGAAACAUGGUUUCCGGACUUUCGGGUCCGGCUCGGAGACAGGUGGUGCAUGGUUGUCGUCAGCUCGUGUCGUGAGAUGUUGGGUUAAGUCCCGCAACGAGCGCAACCCCUACUUUUAGUUGCCAUCAUUAAGUUGGGCACUCUAGAGGAACUGUCGGUGACAAACCGGAGGAAGGUGGGGAGUGACGUCAAAUCAUCAUGCCCUUUACUGUCCUGGGCUACACACGUGCUACAAUGGUCGGUACAGAGGGCGUGCGAAGCCGUGAGGUGGAGCGAAUCCCAAAAAGCCGGUCUCAGUUCGGAUUGCAGGCUGCAACCCGCCUGCAUGAAGUCGGAAUCGCUAGUAAUCGCGAGUCAGCAUAUCG
Molecule: ribosomal RNA, 450 nt
Filed under: uncultured Bacillota bacterium
Lineage: Bacteria; Bacillati; Bacillota
Description: bacterial SSU rRNA
Rfam family: Bacterial small subunit ribosomal RNA
Source: RNAcentral